RNAcentral lists this small RNA (708 nucleotides) under Pan troglodytes (chimpanzee). RNAcentral describes it as "processed transcript". The record is from RNAcentral. Lineage: Eukaryota; Metazoa; Chordata; Mammalia; Primates; Hominidae.
CUCCCGGAGGCGUUGUCUGCGACUCGGCGGAGGCUCCAACUUCCAGUGGCCCUGUCGGGAAAGAUCAGAGCCUCCUAAGAAAUAUCCAGAAGUCAAGCCAUGGAUCCACCUGCACGUAAAGAAAAAACCAAAGUUAAAGAAUCUGUCAGCAGAGUUGAGAAGGCCAAACAGAAAUCAGCCCAGCAGGAGCUGAAGCAGAGACAAAGAGCAGAGGCAGACCCCCUGAGAGCUGUGGUCCUUUACCUUCCCAUUCCCACCUGGAUCCGGGUCCUCAGAUGAUGUGACUGCAUUGUGCUUUGGUGAACAAUAUGAGGGUUGCUAUAAGAAACAGCCCUGAAGCAGGAGAACAGAAGCUACAGAUAAGAAAACCAUUGAUCAGAGAAAUGGCGAUAUAGCCAAGGGAGCUCUCACUGGAGGAACAGAGCUAUCUAUACUUCCGUGUACAACAAAUGCUCUGGGAAAUGGAGAACCAGUUGCCAGCCCAUAUGUGGUUACCUCACACCAAUCAAAAGUGACUGUGGAGAGCACCCCCAAUUUGGAAAACCAAAUGAAAAUGGAGUAUCUCUGUUCAGAAUGAAAAUUUUGAAGAAAUUAUAAAUUUACCCAUUGGAUCGAAACCAUCCAGAUUAGAUGUCACUAACAGUAAGAGCCCAGAAAUUCCUUUGAAUCCAAUUUUGGCCUUUGAUGAUGAAGGGACGCUUGGGCCCC